GACGAACGCUGGCGGCGUGCCUAACACAUGCAAGUCGAACGGAAAGGCCCUGCUUUUGUGGGGUGCUCGAGUGGCGAACGGGUGAGUAACACGUGAGUAACCUGCCCCUGACUUUGGGAUAACCUCAGGAAACUGGGGCUAAUACCGGCUAGGAGCUCCUGCUGCUUGGUGGGCGUUGGAAAGUUUCGGCGGUUGGGGAUGGACUCGCGGCUUAUCAGCUUGUUGGUGGGGUAGUGGCUUACCAAGGCUUUGACGGGUAGUCGGCCUGGGAGGGGGACCGGCCAACUUGGGACGGAGGUACGGCCCAGACUCCAACGGGAGGCAACGGUGGAGAGUAUUACACAAUGGGCGGGAGCCUGAUGCGGCAACGCCGCGUGCGGGAUGACGGCCUUCGGGUUGUGAACCGCUUUCGCCUGAGACGAAGCGUGAGUGACGGUAAUGGGUAAAGAAGCACCGGCUAACUACGUG
RNAcentral lists this ribosomal RNA (468 nucleotides) under uncultured bacterium. Its description in RNAcentral is "partial 16S ribosomal RNA". It matches the Rfam family "Bacterial small subunit ribosomal RNA", at positions 28 to 507 of the family's 1533-position model. The record is from RNAcentral.